Molecule: long non-coding RNA, 954 nt
Organism: Branchiostoma belcheri (Belcher's lancelet)
Lineage: Eukaryota; Metazoa; Chordata; Leptocardii; Amphioxiformes; Branchiostomatidae
Exons: 3
Source: RefSeq, a predicted model, not a curated record
UCUGACAGUAAACAGCCGCAUCUGAAAGGUGGAUAAGCGAAGAAGAAGAACCAGCAAAGAGGAAUCGUUCUUUGAUCAACUGAAAUCAUAUAGUAUAAAGAAGAUGGGCCCUCUAAGCAUAAAUGUUGCGAGACAGUUACUCCAACGUCAGAUGCACGUCCUUAGAACUGUGUCCAAUGACGUCAGAGAGAGGGAGGAGCGACUGCAGUGUAUGCAGGACAAGGUGGAGACUCUGGAAAUCAGAAGGAGACUCCAGGAGAGGACCCGCAUCAGACAACCAACAACUCAACGUGCCGUUAAGCGUCACCAAUGACAGCUGUAUCAUCACGGACACUUCUAUAGAUAGCGUCGCAUCAUCAUGAUGAUCCGCGUGUCUUCUGAUGAGGGUUACUCGUAUUCCAUAAGUUGAACGAAUGGAUAUUGAGGUGAUACGGAUCAUCGCAUCGAAAUCACGCUUAGCCAUUAAUAGCCAUUCCGUUUCUUCUCUUGUGUUAUCACUGAGAUGUAAUGUCGUCUUAUAGAGGCAUUCCACUCAUUCAUUUCUCCAAACUAUUUUAGUUAUAUUACAGAUAAUUAUGUUUUCCCUGUCGCCGAAGCAUGGAUAUAUAUGUUAAGCUAAGCGUGUUCAGCUGAUGAUCUUAUCCAUUCUUGAUUGAGUUCAUGAUAUUUUCAUGAUGUUUUAAAUAAUCUUUACGUCUGUUAAGUCUUAAGUAUUUGAUGUAUAUUGAUGUACAAGAUGACCGUUAAUUGAUUAGUCCUAUUGAAUUUAAUCGCUGUCAAGUAUUAUUUAUGUGAAAUGCUAUGAAGAGGCUUUGCCUUCAAAGGUAGUAGAUGAUGGGCCGUAACUAUGACAAUGUAGAAAUUAUUUCAGAAGUACAUGCAUAAUGUGACAUAAUGUAUUCAGGUAACAUAAUGUAUUCAGGAUGAAAUUCUAAUAAAAAAAUCUCAACCGUA